UGGGGAAUAUUGGACAAUGGGGGCAACCCUGAUCCAGCCAUGCCGCGUGAAUGAUGAAGGCCUUCGGGUUGUAAAGUUCUUUUGGCGGGGACGAUGAUGACUGUACCCGCAGAAUAAGCUCCGGCUAACUUCGUGCCAGCAGCCGCGGUAAUACGAAGGGAGCAAGCGUUGUUCGGAAUUACUGGGCGUAAAGGGCGCGUAGGCGGUUUAACAAGUCAGGCGUGAAAGCCCCGGGCUCAACCCGGGAAUAGCGUUUGAGACUGUUUUUCUAAGAGUUCGGAAGAGGUAAGUGGAAUUCCCAAUGUAGCAGUGAAAUGCGUAGAUAUUGGGAAGAACAUCAGUGGCGAAGGCGGCCCUCUGGUCCAGUACUGACACUCAAGUGCGAAAGCGUGGGGAGCAAACAGGAUUAGAUACCCCUGUAGUCCCUGAGCGGGCUGGCAAGGCGCAU
Molecule: ribosomal RNA, 448 nt
Filed under: uncultured bacterium
Lineage: Bacteria
Description: bacterial SSU rRNA
Rfam family: Bacterial small subunit ribosomal RNA
Source: RNAcentral